AUUGAACGCUGGCGGCAUGCUUUACACAUGCAAGUCGAACGGUAACAGGCCUUCGGGUGCUGACGAGUGGCGAACGGGUGAGUAAUGCAUCGGAACGUACCCAGAGGUGGGGGAUAACGCAGCGAAAGCUGUGCUAAUACCGCAUGUGAUCUGAGGAUGAAAGCGGGGGACCGAGCAGCAAUGUUUGGCCUCGCGCCUUUGGAGCGGCCGAUGUCGGAUUAGCUAGUUGGUGGGGUAAAGGCCUACCAAGGCGACGAUCCGUAGCUGGUCUGAGAGGACGACCAGCCACACUGGAACUGCGACACGGCCCAGACUCCUACGGGAGGCAGCAGUGGGGAAUUUUGGACAAUGGGCGCAAGCCUGAUCCAGCAAUGCCGCGUGCGGGAAGAAGGCCUUCGGGUUGUAAACCGCUUUUGGCAGGAACGAAACGGUGUCCGCUAAUACCGGGCGCUAAUGACGGUACCUGCAGAAUAAGCACCGGCUAACUACGUG
RNAcentral lists this ribosomal RNA (492 nucleotides) under uncultured bacterium. RNAcentral describes it as "partial 16S ribosomal RNA". It matches the Rfam family "Bacterial small subunit ribosomal RNA", at positions 29 to 507 of the family's 1533-position model. The record is from RNAcentral.